CACGUAGGGCGCGAGCGUUGUCCGGAAUUAUUGGGCGUAAAGAGCUCGUAGGCGGCCUGUUGCGUCCGCUGUGAAAGCCCGGGGCUUAACCCCGGGUCUGCAGUGGAUACGGGCAGGCUAGAGGUAGGUAGGGGAGAAUGGAAUUCCCGGUGUAGCGGUGAAAUGCGCAGAUAUCUGGAGGAACACCGGUGGCGAAGGCGGCAUCCUGGACCGACACUGACGCUGAGGCGCGAAAGCUAGGGUAGCAAACGGG
RNAcentral lists this ribosomal RNA (253 nucleotides) under uncultured bacterium. Its description in RNAcentral is "partial 16S ribosomal RNA". It matches the Rfam family "Bacterial small subunit ribosomal RNA", at positions 524 to 776 of the family's 1533-position model. The record is from RNAcentral.